AGUGAACGCUGGCGGUAGGCCUAACACAUGCAAGUCGAACGGCAGCACAGUAAGAGCUUGCUCUUACGGGUGGCGAGUGGCGGACGGGUGAGGAAUACAUCGGAAUCUACUUUUUCGUGGGGGAUAACGUAGGGAAACUUACGCUAAUACCGCAUACGACCUACGGGUGAAAGCAGGGGAUCUUCGGACCUUGCGCGAUUGAAUGAGCCGAUGUCGGAUUAGCUAGUUGGCGGGGUAAAGGCCCACCAAGGCGACGAUCCGUAGCUGGUCUGAGAGGAUGAUCAGCCACACUGGAACUGAGACACGGUCCAGACUCCUACGGGAGGCAGCAGUGGGGAAUAUUGGACAAUGGGCGCAAGCCUGAUCCAGCCAUACCGCGUGGGUGAAGAAGGUCUUCGGGUUGUAAAGCCCUUUUGUUGGGAAAGAAAAGCAGCAGGUUAAUACCCCGAUGUUCUGACGGUACCCAAAGAAUAAGCACCGGCUAACUUCGUG
Molecule: ribosomal RNA, 492 nt
Filed under: uncultured bacterium
Lineage: Bacteria
Description: partial 16S ribosomal RNA
Rfam family: Bacterial small subunit ribosomal RNA
Source: RNAcentral